ACAAAUCUAUAAUGUUGGGGGUAAAAGCCCGACAAAUACCAAUGUGAAUUGGGAGGGCAACCUCUCUAGGCCAAUUUUUGGCCAAGUAUACUAGACCAGAGUCGUUUAAGUAAAAAUAAUAUAAA
RNAcentral lists this unclassified non-coding RNA (125 nucleotides) under uncultured fungus. Its description in RNAcentral is "sequence contains ITS1". The record is from RNAcentral. Lineage: Eukaryota; Fungi.